This 1470-nucleotide ribosomal RNA is filed under the name metagenome. Its description in RNAcentral is "bacterial SSU rRNA". It matches the Rfam family "Bacterial small subunit ribosomal RNA". The record is from RNAcentral.
AGAGUUUGAUCAUGGCUCAGGACGAACGCUGGCGGCACGCUUAACACAUGCAAGUCGAACGAGAGAAGAGGAGCUUGCUUUUCUGAUCUAGUGGCGGACGGGUGAGUAACACGUGAGCAAUCUGCCUUUCAGAGGGGGAUACCGAUUGGAAACGAUCGUUAAUACCGCAUAACAUAAUUGAACCGCAUGAUUUGAUUAUCAAAGAUUUAUCGCUGAAAGAUGAGCUCGCGUCUGAUUAGCUAGUUGGUGAGGUAACGGCUUACCAAGGCGACGAUCAGUAGCCGGACUGAGAGGUUGAUCGGCCACAUUGGGACUGAGACACGGCCCAGACUCCUACGGGAGGCAGCAGUGGGGAAUAUUGCACAAUGGAGGAAACUCUGAUGCAGCGAUGCCGCGUGAGGGAAGAAGGUUUUAGGAUUGUAAACCUCUGUCUUCAGGGACGAAAAAAGACGGUACCUGAGGAGGAAGCUCCGGCUAACUACGUGCCAGCAGCCGCGGUAAAACGUAGGGAGCGAGCGUUGUCCGGAAUUACUGGGUGUAAAGGGAGCGUAGGCGGGAUCGCAAGUCAGAUGUGAAAACUAUGGGCUUAACCCAUAAACUGCAUUUGAACCUGUGGUUCUUGAGUGAAGUAGAGGUAAGCGGAAUUCCUAGUGUAGCGGUGAAAUGCGUAGAUAUUAGGAGGAACAUCAGUGGCGAAGGCGGCUUACUGGGCUUUAACUGACGCUGAGGCUCGAAAGCGUGGGGAGCAAACAGGAUUAGAUACCCUGGUAGUCCACGCCGUAAACGAUGAUUACUAGGUGUGGGGGGACUGACCCCUUCCGUGCCGCAGCAAACGCAAUAAGUAAUCCACCUGGGGAGUACGACCGCAAGGUUGAAACUCAAAGGAAUUGACGGGGGCCCGCACAAGCAGUGGAGUAUGUGGAUUAAUUCGAAGCAACGCGAAGAACCUUACCAGGUCUUGACAUCGUAUGCAUAGCUCAGAGAUGAGUGAAAUCUCUUCGGAGACAUAUAGACAGGUGGUGCAUGGUUGUCGUCAGCUCGUGUCGUGAGAUGUUGGGUUAAGUCCCGCAACGAGCGCAACCCUUACUGUUAGUUGCUACGCAAGAGCACUCUAGCAGGACUGCCGUUGACAAAACGGAGGAAGGUGGGGAUGACGUCAAAUCAUCAUGCCCCUUAUGACCUGGGCCUCACACGUACUACAAUGGCUGUCAACAGAGGGAAGCAAAGCCGCGAGGUGGAGCGAACCCCUAAAAGCAGUCUUAGUUCGGAUUGUAGGCUGCAACCCGCCUACAUGAAGUCGGAAUUGCUAGUAAUCGCAGAUCAGCAUGCUGCGGUGAAUACGUUCCCGGGUCUUGUACACACCGCCCGUCACGCCAUGGGAGUCGGUAACACCCGAAGCCUGUAGUCUAACCGCAAGGAGGACGCAGUCGAAGGUGGGAUUGAUGACUGGGGUGAAGUCGUAACAAGGUA